UACGUAGGGGGCUAGCGUUGUCCGGAAUCAUUGGGCGUAAAGAGCGUGUAGGCGGCCCGGUAAGUCCGCUGUGAAAGUCGGGGGCUCAACCCUCGGAUGCCGGUGGAUACUGUCGGGCUCGAGUACGGAAGAGGCGAGUGGAAUUCCUGGUGUAGCGGUGAAAUGCGCAGAUAUCAGGAGGAACACCUAUUGCGAAGGCAGCUCGCUGGGACGUUACUGACGCUGAUGCACGAAAGCUAGGGGAGCAAACAGG
RNAcentral lists this ribosomal RNA (253 nucleotides) under uncultured bacterium. RNAcentral's name for it is "partial 16S ribosomal RNA". It matches the Rfam family "Bacterial small subunit ribosomal RNA", at positions 524 to 776 of the family's 1533-position model. The record is from RNAcentral.